Etheostoma cragini (Arkansas darter) is the source of this 107-nucleotide long non-coding RNA. RefSeq lists it as uncharacterized. The transcript has 3 exons. The record is from RefSeq and is a predicted model, not a curated record. Lineage: Eukaryota; Metazoa; Chordata; Actinopteri; Perciformes; Percidae.
AGGCAACCUCCGCUACUGAAAGAUGAAGCCAAUGCGGAAGUGCCAAAAGCUGCAGUUCGUCCAGUGGCCACUUGAGGCUGGCUCCAAAAGGAAGUUCAUCCCAUUAA